GAGGAGGAGUUGUUUAGUUCCUCAGUCGUGUCUGACUCUUUCCGACCCCAUGGACUGUAGCCCACCAGGCUCCUCUGUCCAUGGGAUUCUCCAGGCAAGAAUACUGGAGUGGGUUGCCAUGUCCUUCUCCAGGGGAUCUUCCCAACCCAGGGAUCAAAUCCAGGUCUCCUGCAUCUCCUGCAUUGUAGGUGGAUUCUUUACCACUGAGCCUUGAGAAGAAGGAGAUGGCUUACUCCAAGCACAUGAUCCAAGUAUGGCAACAUCAUUCUAACAGGAAUGUACUGAGCUGAGCUGUAAAGCAGGCAGGGAAAGGCACGGGCAGGAGAGACAGUGAUGCCCACCGCCAGGGUCUGUGGUUCUCAAACAUCGCUGUUGAGUCAGGAGCACCCGGGGCUGGUUUUCUGCAUUCCUGGCUGGAACCUACCCCGGUCCAUUGAAAACCCGCCCUCCAGAAAGGCCCUGUCACCUCACUGCUGUCCUGGGGCUGGCUCGUCCCGGUUCUGCUUCUCUCCCUGACUCUGUGUUCAGGGACAUCCGUUUGAUGGUUUAAAGUUGGCCCCCAUGUGGUAAUUCUACCACAGCCAUCAGCAAACAACUACACAUCACAAAGAUCCCCUCCUCCUCCUUCCCUAAGGGCCGGUUUACCAGCACCUUGUGGUUCAUUUAAAAAAAACUCCCCAGGUGUUUUGGUUGGGCAGCAAGUUUAAGACCAGCUGGUCAAAAGCAAGCUCUUCUUGUGGCCUGAAGCUUCCUACCAAAUAGCAUCUUGGGGCUCUAGUCCUUCCUGUGAGGCUGUGUCUGUAGAGGCCUGCUGAUUCCUUAAAGCAGGACACAUAGAAAGAGGUUUGCGGGUUAACUUACAUAGUAAAUAAAUGGCUGACCUGGAUUGAGACCCCACUGAUCCAUCUCCAGGACCAGCACAACUUCUACCUGUGCGGGCUGACUUUCCUGCACCAUAAAGGCAUACUGCACAAAGCCCAACCCAUUCCUCUCCCGCAGCGCCCACCCCGCCUUAGUUAUCUUCCAUAGCAUUAACUUGAAUGAAACUACCACCUCUCUGUGACGCACAAGUCUGGCUGGAGAGACUUCAGCAAAAUUGCAAGGUGUCAUGGGCACCUGGGGGAGAAGGCAAUGGCACCCCACCCUAGUACUCUUGCCUGGAAAAUCCCAUGGAUGGAGCCUGGAAGGCUGCAGUCCAUGGGGUCGCUAGGAGUCGGACAUGACUGAGCGACUUCACUUUCACUUUUCACUUUCAUGCAUUGGAGAAGAAAAUGGCAACCCACUCCAGUGUUCUUGCCUGGAGAAUCCCAGGGACGGGGGAGCCUGUGGGCUGCUGUCUCUGGGGUCGCACAG
Molecule: long non-coding RNA, 1353 nt
Organism: Bos taurus (domestic cattle)
Lineage: Eukaryota; Metazoa; Chordata; Mammalia; Artiodactyla; Bovidae
Source: Ensembl